This 379-nucleotide ribosomal RNA is filed under the name uncultured bacterium. Its description in RNAcentral is "partial 16S ribosomal RNA". It matches the Rfam family "Bacterial small subunit ribosomal RNA", at positions 338 to 732 of the family's 1533-position model. The record is from RNAcentral.
CCUACGGGAGGCAGCAGUGGGGAAUAUUGGGCAAUGGACGCAAGUCUGACCCAGCAACGCCGCGUGAAGGAAGAAGGCUUUCGGGUUGUAAACUUCUUUUAAGGGGGAAGAGCAGAAGACGGUACCCCUUGAAUAAGCCACGCCUAACUACGUGCCAGCAGCAGCGGUAAUACGUAGGUGGCAAGCGUUGUCCGGAUUUACUGGGGGUAAAGGGCGUGCAGCCGGAGAGGCAAGUCAGAUGUGAAAUCCGCGGGCUCAACUCGCGAACUGCUUUUGAAACUGCUUCCCUUGAGUAUCGGAGAGGUAAGCGGAAUGUCAGGGGAAGCGGUGAAAUGCGUAGAUAUAAGGAAGAACACCAGAGGCGAAGGCUGAUUACUGG